Molecule: ribosomal RNA, 1075 nt
Filed under: uncultured organism
Description: bacterial SSU rRNA
Rfam family: Bacterial small subunit ribosomal RNA
Source: RNAcentral
UAUGCAACCUGCCCCUGACAGGAGGAUAGCCCUAGGAAACUGGGAUUAAUACUCCAUGUAUUAUCAAGUAGGCAUCUAUUACAUAAUAAAGCUACGGCGGUCAGGGAUGGGCAUGCGUGCCAUUAGUUAGUUGGUGAGGUAACGGCUCACCAAGGCAUCGAUGGCUAGGGGUUCUGAGAGGAUGAUCCCCCACACUGGUACUGAGACACGGACCAGACUCCUACGGGAGGCAGCAGUGAGGAAUAUUGGUCAAUGGGCGCAAGCCUGAACCAGCCAUGCCGCGUGCAGGAUGACUGUUCUAUGAAUUGUAAACUGCUUUUCUGCGGGAAGAAAUGUACCUACGUGUAGGUAUUUGCCGGUACUGCAGGAAUAAGCAUCGGCUAACUCCGUGCCAGCAGCCGCGGUAAUACGGAGGAUGCAAGCGUUAUCCGGAUUCAUUGGGUUUAAAGGGUGCGCAGGCGGUGUAUUAAGUCAGUGGUGAAAUGCUGCGGCUCAACCGUAGACUUGCCAUUGAUACUGGUACACUUGAAUGUAGUUGAGGUAGGCGGAAUGUGUAACGUAGCGGUGAAAUGCUUAGAUAUUACACAGAACACCGAUUGCGAAGGCAGCUUACUAAACUAUGAUUGACGCUGAGGCACGAAAGCGUGGGGAGCGAACAGGAUUAGAUACCCUGGUAGUCCACGCUGUAAACUAUGAUCACUGGUUGUUGGCAAUAUACCGUCAGCGACUGAGCGAAAGCAUUAAGUGAUCCACCUGGGGAGUACGUCGGCAACGAUGAAACUCAAAGGAAUUGACGGGGGCCCGCACAAGCGGAGGAACAUGUGGUUUAAUUCGAUGAUACGCGAGGAACCUUACCUGGGCUUAAAUGUAGAGUGCAUAGAGUGGAAACAUUCUUUUCCUUCGGGACUCUUUACAAGGUGCUGCAUGGUUGUCGUCAGCUCGUGCCGUGAGGUGUCGGGUUAAGUCCCAUAACGAGCGCAACCCUUGUCGUUAGUUGCUAGCAGGUCAAGCUGAGGACUCUAACGAGACUGCCGGUGUAAACCGAGAGGAAGGUGGGGAUGACGUCAAAUCAGCA